GCACUGCUGAGUCCUACAAUAGGACGAAACGGCCGUCCAGUGC
This 43-nucleotide non-coding RNA is filed under the name Schistosoma haematobium. Lineage: Eukaryota; Metazoa; Platyhelminthes; Trematoda; Strigeidida; Schistosomatidae. The record is from RNAcentral.